CGCUCGUAGCUCAGUAGGAUAGAGCAUCGGUUUCCUAAACCGGGGGUCGCAGGUUCGAAUCCUGCCGGGCGCA
This 73-nucleotide transfer RNA is filed under the name Planctomycetota bacterium. Its description in RNAcentral is "tRNA-Arg". It matches the Rfam family "tRNA". Rfam says of the family: Transfer RNA (tRNA) molecules are approximately 80 nucleotides in length. Their secondary structure includes four short double-helical elements and three loops (D, anti-codon, and T loops). Further hydrogen bonds mediate the characteristic L-shaped molecular structure. tRNAs have two regions of fundamental functional importance: the anti-codon, which is responsible for specific mRNA codon recognition, and the 3' end, to which the tRNAs corresponding amino acid is attached (by aminoacyl-tRNA synthetases). tRNAs cope with the degeneracy of the genetic code in two manners: having more than one tRNA (with a specific anti-codon) for a particular amino acid; and 'wobble' base-pairing, i.e. permitting non-standard base-pairing at the 3rd anti-codon position. Lineage: Bacteria; Pseudomonadati; Planctomycetota. The record is from RNAcentral.